Molecule: long non-coding RNA, 3014 nt
Organism: Phyllopteryx taeniolatus (common seadragon)
Lineage: Eukaryota; Metazoa; Chordata; Actinopteri; Syngnathiformes; Syngnathidae
Exons: 3
Source: RefSeq, a predicted model, not a curated record
CAGCACCCCACACGCACACUAAAGCGCAACAUGUGACAUCACCGAAUCAGUUUAUGAAAAAAUUCGUUCUUUUAUCUUGGCCGCCAGGCAAGCGAGUCGGCUGGGAGCGGAAACGGAAGUGCUGAAAAGCGUUCUGUCGCUCACUUCGGAAUCUUCGGCGAAUGGCCGAUGAGCAGCUAGCGUCAGGCAGCACCGUGCAAGCGGGGGAGGGACUUAAAGUGAACUGAGUGAUUCGUUCAGUGAACUUGUGUACUGAGCAACUGAAGAACUGAAGAGCGAGUCGUUCGUGGAACUUACCGUUCACGAUCCGCUAGACACGAGUGAUUCGUUAGUGAUCCGCUAAGGAGCGACGUACUAAUACGAUGGGUGAUUCGUUUGCGCAGGGAACGACGGACUACGCAGUGACCGUACUUAUGAGUGAUUUUAACCGCAAGUCCUGACGUCCUCGAGCGGACAGCGGCCGUUUCUUCAAGCUAACGGCUAAUUUUUGAGUCAGUCAAGCAUAUGAAAACAAGCACACAUAUUUAAAAUAAAUGUAAAUGAAGAAUACGUUUUUACGUACACAUACAUAUAAUUUCCUCUGUGUCUCUAAUGUGAUUAUUAAAGCUUUUUAUUUCAUAAUAUUAAUAAUAGCAACACAUUCAACUUCUAUAGCGCUUCUCAAGACACUAAUCAGGUGACAAUCACAGUAAGGCACGGGUGUCCAACUCAUUUUUGGCCACUUUGCAGUUCUGGUUCCACUCGGAGAGCCGUGAUGGCUGCAAACCAAUAUGAUUGCGUCAUAUUAUUACAUAUACACAAAUGAAUGGAUAAUUACUUUUGAAAUCAGAAGCCAGUAAAAACUGUUUGUUAUUUUAAAAGGGGGGUUGGUAACAAAAAAAUGCUUGCAAUAUCUCAAUAUUUGUAAAAGUCAAGCCAAUUUGCAAUUUUGGAAACACAAAGUCGAUGCACACUCCCACAGGCCACAUAAAAUGACCUAGUGGGCCGGAUCUGGCCCUCGGGCCACCAGUUUGACACCCGUGAGUGAGCAGAAAGCCCGGCUGGCGGGGGCUGGUGGGGGUCAGCGACGCCGUCCACCGCGGUGGAAUGCAGAAGUUGGACGUAAGCGGACGCGGAAGGCUGUUCGGUAGUGGAGCUCGCCGCACGCAUGUUCUCGACCGGUGUUCGAGAGCUUGCUGAGAGAGAGAUCAAGCAGGCACCUAAACACGCCACCAGGCUGCACGCCAUCACCAGGCUGCCAAUCAACAGAAGCCCCGCACCCACAGCCUGGAGCUCAUCUGAACACACACACACACACACACACACACACACAAGUAAGUGAUGUGUUGUGAGAAGAUGCCGACGUGGCGUUUGAGCGUUACCGGAAGAGACGGCGCCAAUGAGGCUUCCUGAGUCAAAGCAGAUCCAAACGCCACAACAGGCCACACCCAAACCCAGAGCCUGCACACAGGUCAAAGGUCAGGCGGCAUUGGCAGGGGAAAUGAAGAUUUGUUCCGACUCACCAGAAGGACGAAGCUCAGAAAAAGCAAGAAGAGCUUCACGACGUCAACUUUCACCUCCAACUUCAUCGCUGUCGGAUCUUCACACAACACACACACACACACACACUUCCUUGUACAUUUAGACUUCCUGAUUGGCAGUGAACUUUAACCCCUGGUCUCCAUGGAAGCAUGCUGAACUUUGGACAUACACACGUCAUGUGAAAAGCAGCACACACAUAACACACGUGUAAUAAUAUAAAAGUAAAUAAAAGUGUACGUUGGGAUUUGUUGUUUUGAUGUUUGACAUUCUUGAGGAUUGUGUUCAUCAAACACACACCUUUUAUGCAUGCAUGCGUGUGUGUGCGUGAGAGUUUGUUGGGAUUUGUUUUGUUGGACAUUCUUCAGGACCGUUGUCAUCGCCCCACGACUUUUGCAGUGUGAGUGUGAGUGUGUGUGUGUGUGCGCGUUGUGGUGACAUAGCCCCGCUUCGGGAGGUGACCUAUGAACUCUGCCAAGGUAACGGACAUCAUCUUCCUCAUGUUGCUCAUCUUCAUCAAAGCAGAAGUCAAGACGGCGCCUCGGAGGAUGACCUUGCGACCCCGACGCCGGAAAACAGCGACCUUUGACUACUACGACUACUAUUUUAAUUGAUUUUCACCACCACUUACAGAAAACAACUUUUUUGUUGGUGGAGUCCUCGAGCUGUGUGUGCGUGUGUGUGCGCCAUAUAUUAUAUCACCAUGAGAUGCCCUCUCAAAAAAGUGGAGAUUGAGGAACUUCUAUAUUAUUUGCAUUCAGUCAAUGUUAUGCUGUUAAAAAUGCAAACUGCAUUUUUAAAUAAAUGAACUGGCAGCCGACAAAAUUCCUGAAAACAAAACGAGAGCCUGCUGGCAGGGCGGACAAUAACGGGAUGGACAUUUUUGGCUAACGUGAGCAUUUGAUGUUGGACCUUCACUUCGUGACACCAUUGAGUGAGCAAGAUGACUGAACUUUUUUUUUUUUGCAAGCUGACUGAAGUGUUCAACAAACCGAUUUGGAGUUUGAGUGUUUUCUCUCUCUCUCCCGAUGAGAGCGGACGCGUUCAGCUUGACAACAUCCAAGUCCUCACGUCACAAGGAAAGAAGUUUUAUGAUGUAAAAGCACCUUUUCGGGGGCGAUAAUGUUGAUUUUGGAUCAUUCACACUAUCAUGGCUUAAAGUGAGAAAAAUCUCUGCACUUGAAUUUUUUUUCAAGGUGGGGUGGGGCACAACCUCGGUGGUCAGUGAGUGUGUGUGUGUGUGUGUGUAAAAGCGUGGUGGGGCGGGGUCAUGCUUCACCUUCACGCCAUGUUGCAGAUUUGAAAUAUUUACUAGACGAGGAAAAUAUGUAUAGUAACUUAUGCUUUUGGAUAAUUGCAACAAAUUUAAAAGGGACAAUUUUGGCCUAAAUGACACACAUACUUGUCUCCACAAAUUUUUAUGAUUAUGAUGCGGGCACACGAGAGAUGCAUGACUGUUUUGUGUGCGUUUCCAUGAGCAUGUCAGCCUAACAUGU